GGCUCCAUAGUGUAGCGGUUAGCAUGUCUGCUUUACACACAGAAGGUCCUGGGUUUGCGUCCUAGGUGAAGCUA
Molecule: transfer RNA, 74 nt
Filed under: Pteropus alecto (black flying fox)
Lineage: Eukaryota; Metazoa; Chordata; Mammalia; Chiroptera; Pteropodidae
Rfam family: tRNA
About the family: Transfer RNA (tRNA) molecules are approximately 80 nucleotides in length. Their secondary structure includes four short double-helical elements and three loops (D, anti-codon, and T loops).
Source: Rfam by way of RNAcentral